CCUCUUUUAUGGGGUGACUGCGUACCUUUUGUAUAAUGGGUCAGCGACUUAUAUUCUGUAGCAAGGUUAACCGAAUAGGGGAGCCGAAGGGAAACCGAGUCUUAACCGGGCGUUAAGUUGCAGGGUAUAGACCCGAAACCCGGUGAUCUAGCCAUGGGCAGGUUGAAGGUUGGGUAACACUAACUGGAGGACCGAACCGACUAAUGUUGAAAAAUUAGCGGAUGACUUGUGGCUGGGGGUGAAAGGCCAAUCAAACCGGGAGAUAGCUGGUUCUCCCCGAAAGCUAUUUAGGUAGCGCCUCGUGAAUUCAUCUCCGGGGGUAGAGCACUGUUUCGGCAAGGGGGUCAUCCCGACUUACCAACCCGAUGCAAACUGCGAAUACCGGAGAAUGUUAUCACGGGAGACACACGGCGGGUGCUAACGUCCGUCGUGAAGAGGGAAACAACCCAGACCGCCAGCUAAGGUCCCAAAGUCAUGGUUAAGUGGGAAACGAUGUGGGAAGGCCCAGACAGCCAGGAUGUUGGCUUAGAAGCAGCCAUCAUUUAAAGAAAGCGUAAUAGCUCACUGGUCGAGUCGGCCUGCGCGGAAGAUGUAACGGGGCUAAACCAUGCACCGAAGCUGCGGCAGCGACACUGUGUGUUGUUGGGUAGGGGAGCGU
This 658-nucleotide ribosomal RNA is filed under the name Escherichia coli. RNAcentral's name for it is "partial 23S ribosomal RNA". It matches the Rfam family "Bacterial large subunit ribosomal RNA", at positions 580 to 1239 of the family's 2925-position model. RNAcentral also lists the same sequence under 1 other name. Lineage: Bacteria; Pseudomonadati; Pseudomonadota; Gammaproteobacteria; Enterobacterales; Enterobacteriaceae. The record is from RNAcentral.